This 253-nucleotide ribosomal RNA is filed under the name uncultured bacterium. RNAcentral's name for it is "partial 16S ribosomal RNA". It matches the Rfam family "Bacterial small subunit ribosomal RNA", at positions 524 to 776 of the family's 1533-position model. The record is from RNAcentral.
UACGUAGGCAGCGAGCGUUGUUCGGAAUUAUUGGGCGUAAAGAGUGUGUAGGCGGUGCUCCAAGUCUGUCGUGAAAUCUCCCGGCUUAACCGGGAGGGUGCGGCGGAAACUGGAGUGCUAGAGGGUGGGAGAGGAAAGCGGAAUUCCCGGUGUAGCGGUGAAAUGCGCAGAUAUCAGGAGGAACACCGAUGGCGAAGGCAGGUCUCUGGGCAUUAACUGACGCUGAGGAGCGAAAGCAUGGGGAGCGAACAGG